UAACGAAUAUUAGGCAAUGGGCGAAAGCCUGACCCAGCAAUGCCGCGUGCAGGACGAAGUCCUUCGGGAUGUAAACUGCUGUCAGGGGUCCGCAAGCGAAGGGGUCCAACAGGCCCUGGAGUUGAGCAGCCCCAGAGGCAGCCUCGACUAACUCUGUGCCAGCAGUCGCGGUAAGACAGAGGAGGCAAGCGUUGUUCGGAAUCACUGGGCUUAAAGCGCGUGUAGGCGGCUUAGAAAGUGUCGUGUGAAAUCCCGCGGCUCAACCGCGGAACUGCACGGCAAACUACUUUGCUUGAGGUCGGUAGAGGUGCCUGGAACUCUAGGUGGAGCGAUGAAAUGCGUAGAUAUCUAUAGGAACGCCAGAAGCGAAAGCGGGGCACUGGGCCGAUUCUGACGCUGAGACGCGAAAGCGUGGGGAGCAAACA
RNAcentral lists this ribosomal RNA (425 nucleotides) under uncultured prokaryote. Its description in RNAcentral is "bacterial SSU rRNA". It matches the Rfam family "Bacterial small subunit ribosomal RNA", at positions 355 to 774 of the family's 1533-position model. The record is from RNAcentral.